Saccharomyces cerevisiae S288C is the source of this 201-nucleotide small nucleolar RNA. Lineage: Eukaryota; Fungi; Ascomycota; Saccharomycetes; Saccharomycetales; Saccharomycetaceae. The record is from Ensembl.
AGGUUAGGGACUGCAAAAGAAGCGGCGAGGCAGCCCACAUCAAGUGGAACUACACAGACUUCCUUGUCGCGAUACUACGGUCCCAAGAGCAAUCCUAACAAGCAAUUACAUAUUCCCCCGCUGAACCUGUACAGUCCACGGAUGGUGCAGAAGUUAUAUGAUUUGGGGGAAGACGCUUUUUCACAUCUUCUUGCAUGAUAA